This is a long non-coding RNA of Populus trichocarpa (black cottonwood), 2340 nucleotides long. RefSeq lists it as uncharacterized. Lineage: Eukaryota; Viridiplantae; Streptophyta; Magnoliopsida; Malpighiales; Salicaceae. The record is from RefSeq and is a predicted model, not a curated record. The transcript has 2 exons.
UGUAAGCCUUAGUGUAAGGCUUGAUAAAUCAUUCCGGGCCAAGCAUGGUUGAUAUGCUUGAAGGGGGAUGUUGUUCUAGAGACAAGCGUUAAACACUCUUCAGAUGAGAUAUGACAAACCAUCUGGUUGAAGUGAUCAUUUGGAGUGAGCAAAGGGGUGCUUGGAUGACUCUGGCGAUUGAAAGGUUUGGCAAGUACCUGGAAACUUGGCCAAAGACGCUCUCGGAAUGGUAAGCUUCGAAGAGCUGCAGGAUGCAAGCGUGUGCUGAAGAAGCAAGAGGACAAUUGCCCACAUAAAUGGCAAAGGGGGUGAUUGUUGGAAUAUUGCCAAUUAUGUGGCUGCCAUUGUCAAAGAAGAUGGCUGCAAUGGUGGGUUGUUGGUGGCAGCCAACAACCAUUGUCUAAUGUCAAAGUUUGGCAAGUUUGGCAGCCACCAUUGUUGACAAAAGAGCUGGAGGAGCUGCCAUGGAUGCCUAUAAAUAGAGGCAUAUGUUAGAGAGCAAAAUGAGAGAGUUAAGAGAAGGAAAGUAGAGCCAAAGAUGUGAGAGAUGUAGGAGAGAGUGGGCUGCCAAGGCAGCCAGCAGUAGCUGCCAUUGCAACACUGAGAAGAGAGAAAUAGAGUGAGGUUGAGAGUUGCCAAAUAAGGGGAUAAUUCCUCCUCCUCUAUUGUUGUAAAUCUUGUACUCUCCCUAUAUAAUGCAAUGGCUUCUCCCGUGGAUGUAGGCGGUUUGCCGAACCACGUUAAAUAUUGUGUCAGUGUGCUUAGCCUCCAAUGGGCAAAUAUCAGAACAUCACCGGUCGGAAUUCCCUACAAGAAGGUGAUCAAUCUGGGCCGGCCUGUGUUGUCCCAAUUGCUUGCUUGGGAUUAUGAUGCUUAUAUUUGAUUUUGGAUGGUUGCGGUAAUAUGAGUAACACUAGUUUCUAAUGGGGUUGGUUUGGGGAAAGUUACACUAUGGUAUACUAAGUUUUAAUUCUGUUCAUUUUGAUACAUGGACAUGUUAAGGCUGUGCCUUAACAAACAAGCAAUUUUAGAGAAGAAAUUCAGAAGAAGAAGAAGAAGAGAUGUUUUAUCAUUCAAAUACUUGCCUUCCAUUCUUUACAACAGCUUAUAUACACCAAGAUUCUAAUUGACUUAACCACAGCAACUAUACUAACUAUCAUCCUCACGUGUAUACUUCUCUGCAGUUGCUUUCCACCCUUUAUUCUCCUUAUUAUUCACAUGCUUAGCCCUUUAUUUAUCACAUAUCAAAUACUUCAUUGAUGAUGUAAGCUGAUCAUAACAAUACUUUUAUCUUCAAUAGUUUCUUAUCCUCAAGAAUCUAUAUUGAAUUCUGGAAAUCGUUUUGCCAAUUCUUCCAGCUCUUCCUAUGGCUCCUCUUGGAAUAUAUUUGACCACUGUACCAGACUCAUUAUUAUUGUCUUGUUACCUUUCUUCAUCAAUUUUCGAUCUAGGAUUGCUAUUGGACUAAAUUUGAUUCUGCCCUCUUCAUCAGUCAUGGGAUAGAUUAUAGGCGACCCCUCCAACCUUUUGCAUGAUCUUAUAGGGACCAUAAAACCUCGGGUUCCGCUUCUCAUUCUUCCUUAGUGCCAUACUCAACUGCUUACAAGGUUGAAGCUUUAAGCAGACCAAAUCACCAACUUGAAACACCUUUUCAGUUCUGCCCUUAUCAGCCAUUUACUUCAUUCUGUUUCUAGCCUUUUCUAAUUAUGACUGCAACCAUCUAUACAUGUUCACCCUCCUUCGAAUAACUUCAUUCAUAGCUGCUACUGGAGUUGGUGCAGACGGAGAUACCUCUAAGGACAAUCAAAAUCACAGAUUUGAAAGACAAGUCUGGAGAGCCAGAGUUGUUAUUGGGAAGCCAUUAUAGUAAUCGCCUCCGUCGGAGCAGCAUUGGAAUCAUUCACUGCAUAGAGCUUCAACCACGAAGCGUUUUACAACUCCAGGACAGGGGUCACCAAGUUUAGCUGCUGAUAUAGGAAUUGAACAUCUUUCAUGGCCAAUGCAAGCCUGUAAUUAUCAUUCAAACGUGUAAUAGAUGAAGAGAAGCAGGAGGAAGGUGCUAUGAGUAAGAUACAACCAUUGAUGUAGGACAAAUUUAUUUCACAAGUCCAAAAUAGGAAGGUGCUAUGAUUAAUAGUAGAAUAGUAACCAAAUAACCAGCAAUUGCAUGGCUCAACGGAAAUGGACUCUUAACUAAGAAUACGUUGCUAUAGAGAAUUCCAAGAAGGCAUUUGAAGGAAACAGUGACUCAUUAAGCCUCAAUCCUUCUAACCCCCAAAAUAAUAUCCAGAUUUCACAUGAUACGAUAAAUUUGAUUGAAUAAGAGAAUGCGCUUAGCAA